Megalobrama amblycephala (Wuchang bream) is the source of this 2813-nucleotide long non-coding RNA. RefSeq lists it as uncharacterized. The record is from RefSeq and is a predicted model, not a curated record. The transcript is spliced from 6 exons. NCBI's taxonomy places the organism in Eukaryota, Metazoa, Chordata, Actinopteri, Cypriniformes, Xenocyprididae.
AGCAGCCAUUACUGCAGUCUUCAGUGUCACAAUGAUCCUUAAUAUGCUGAUUUGGUGCUCAAGCAACAUUUCUUAUUACUAUCAAUGUUGAAAAUAAUUGAUUUUUUUGUGUGACUUUUACAUAGUUACAAAAGAAUUGUCACUUUUGAUGGAUUUAAUGUCAUUGUUGUUGAAUAAAAGUAUUAUUUUCUUUCAAAAAAAACUUUACUGACCACAAACUUUUGCUUGGUAGUGUGUAUAUAUAAUAGAAAAAAAAAAAAUCAGAUCGUGAAGUGCCAUGUCCUAUACUUUUUGAGCUGUGGUGCUUAUGUGGAUGAUUCAAGUUUGAACCCGGCUUGCGUCAUUUGCUGAUCAUUUCCCACUCUUUUUGUUUAUUGUCGAUAUAAUUAAACUGGUUCUAAAGACUGUCAUCAUAAAUUAUGUAUACAAUCAAACAGCUACUAGCAUUGACUUGCAUUGACUUUAGACGAUUUGGCUUGACUAGGAUGUUGUUCUCAUUGCUAUCUGAUGAAAUAUCUGUUGUCUAAAGUUGCUACUUUAAAUACCAGCUGGCCUGUAUCAGAAUCCGACUGUUUGACUCUUUCAGCUCAACUAAAGAGCAGCUUGUCUCUGUCCCCCUCUCCAUGCUUGGCAGCAUUCACAGGCCGGGCAAGAGAAGAGAUAGAAAGCUGCCAAAUGUGUUUGAGGUGUAGGGUGAUUUGCAUAGGUGAGCACACGUCAGGGCCUCCCAGCAUAAACAGGGCACUGUGAACCUCCUCUGCUCACCACUAGUAAAUCAACACAGAUACAUAUACAAGCACUCCUCAGAGCAUAUCCUGUAUGCUGGGAUCUGGGGUUAGAAUCGCUCUUUCUGUCGUUCUAGUGGCUACUCGCACACACACAGACUUGUUCUCACACAAAUAUCCCUUUAUUUCACAUACUAGACAAAUUUAUUUAUCAUGUAAGAUGAUCGUCUAACACGGCUCUAGCUUAACUAAUAACUUGAACUUUAAAAGUUUAAAUAAUGCUGAUUUUGUUUUAUGUCCAAAAAUGUGUAGUUCUAGGCAAUACAGAACUCUAGAUUAGAGCAUUUUCCUAUCUUUAACCACAUUAUCCAUUCACUGUCUAAAUUGUUUGACUUUUUUUUUCCCAAUACAAUCCUGAUUUCUUGUACUCAAGAUUUGAAAAAUGUCCAUAGUAGUCAACUAAACAACUUCAGACACAACUAAGAGAUAUAGACCAACCCACGAGGACACACUACAUCACUCUCUAGUACCGUCAGCUGAAACUGAGCUUCACAUGUGGUCAUAAUUGAUCAUCUAUUAACCGAGUCUUUACAUAACUAUCUCAGAUCUCUGUUCGGUGCCACAUUUGGAAAUCUGCCACUUCCACUCAAGUCACCUGAGAAGCCCCAGGGGUCUAGUUAACUGGUUUGUCAUUCACUCCCACCUGGAGUCUCUUUUAAAAUACCAGGCAUUGCUUAAAAGGGUAGUUUACCCGCCAAAAGUCCUCAUUCUGGCAUUAUGUGAGAUAAAAAAACUGUUUUGACAGUUUUUUUGUGAGAUGUUGAAACAAAAUGUACUUUAAUCAUUCGUUUUCGUCGAUGCAAUGCUAUCAUUCUGCCUAUCACAAAACAUAAUGAGUAAGUAGGCUAGCCUAAAUGAUGACGGUUUUUAUUUUCGGGUUAACUAUUCCUUAAAGUAGCCUACAGGAUAAAAUAUAUGCCUAUCUGGGGAUCACAAUGUUUAUGAAAUGGAUAAAAAAAUGUAUUAAGCGAAUAAGUGUUGUCAUUACGUUUUCUUCGUAUAUGUUGCUGAGCAACGGUCUUUGAAAUUGAGCAACGGACACGAUGACAUCGUCAGGCCAAAUCUGCACUAACAGAGCAACCACUAGGGGACACCAACACCUAAUGUAGGCCUACAAACUUCCUCACGUUCAGAAAUAAGAUACAGAUACUGAUAUUAUGCGGUUUAAGAGUGUAUUUUAUUAAAAUAAUGCAAGUACGAAAGGUAUACGUGCGUCAUUCCGUCAAAUUCGCGCUCACAGAUCUUUCAACAGAGAACCGCCGCGAAGUUGAGUCUUUGGGUCAUGGAUUGGUGAGCUACAGGUCAGGAGACAAACGGCACCUUGAUUGACAGGAAAGAGAGAAACUUUAAUGCCGGUAGUGACCUGACCUGAGUGACAAGGAACAGCUGAGUGUGUGUACACACACACAUCUGGAGACCCGCAGGGUUUCACACUAGACAUCCUUAUGCUGUAACCCACCGUCCGUCUUUACGCAGUAGUUGCAGAAACAUGCCCCCAAAGCUGCAGGGUUCCCCACGGAGCCAACCUUUAUGCUGCUAAAGUCAGAGGUCGUUGGUCCCAGAGGGAAACAGUGGCGACACCCCAGUGGCUGAGGAGACUGAGGCGUUCAGUAGACUAAUGGGGUCUGACUUCAUCAUUAAGAAGGAUUGUCUUUUACUGAUGCCCCCCAUUUGUUUUGGGAUAUGGAUUUCACAUGCACUUGUCCGAACAACAAAUAGACGCCACUGUUUACCGUGACAACAGAUCUUGCCCCAGCUAGUCAUUGGCUUUACCAGAGAUGACCCUAAUGCUAAGUCCAUCCAAGCCUAAAGAGGAACAAGUGUUUUUAAGAUGAUUGACAUGAACUCCAGUGAUCUGCUAGAAAGAAUGAGGCCCUUGAAAAGUAAAGGGAUGAUUGGGAGUGUGGGGGACUUUUCCAAGACUACACAAACAUAGAUUCAUAUCCUUCGUGCCUCUCCAUGAUUUUCUGCUUAUGAGAGAGAACAAUAUGAUGAUCAGACAUGUAAAAUAAAAAAAACCUGCAUUGA